GAUCCCAUCCCGAACUCAGUAGUGAAACGAUGCAUCGCCGAUGGUAGUGUGGGGUUUCCCCAUGUGAGAGUAGGUCAUCGUCAAGC
Molecule: ribosomal RNA, 86 nt
Filed under: Gammaproteobacteria bacterium
Lineage: Bacteria; Pseudomonadati; Pseudomonadota; Gammaproteobacteria
Also listed under: 1 other name
Source: RNAcentral